ACAGUAAACCGGCUUGUCGCUAGCUUUUUUGGCAACAAGGGAGCGAGAGGAAAGUCCGGGCAACACAGGGCAUCCCGCUUCCUAACGGAAAGAGAUUCGCAAGGGUCUGUAAAUGCAGAAGAAAAUAACCGCCCUCAUGACAGGGCAAGGGUGAGAAGGCAGGGUAAGAGCCUACCAGGUUGAUGGUGACAUCAAUGCUGUGCAUUCCGGGAGUUGAAAGUUCAUGUAAACCAGCGAACAAAAAGAAAGGUGGCCCGCCUGAGCUGGAGGGUAGAACGAUAGAGGCCUGUGGCGACACAGGUUGCAGAUAAAUGACAAGCGUCUUUUACUGGAAGGUGAAAGAUUACAGAACCCGGCUUACAAGUUUACUGUCUUU
This 376-nucleotide RNase P RNA is filed under the name Bacteroidaceae bacterium. Its description in RNAcentral is "RNase P RNA component class A". It matches the Rfam family "Bacterial RNase P class A". From Rfam's summary of the family: Ribonuclease P (RNase P) is a ubiquitous endoribonuclease, found in archaea, bacteria and eukarya as well as chloroplasts and mitochondria. Lineage: Bacteria; Pseudomonadati; Bacteroidota; Bacteroidia; Bacteroidales; Bacteroidaceae. The record is from RNAcentral.